GAGAGAACAAAGGGAUCCCUAGUAACGGCGAGCGAACGGGGAAGAGCUCGUAGCCGAAUCCUAGGCCUUUGGCCCGGGAAAUGUGGCGUGUGGGAGGCGGCACCCUCCUUGCUCGACUCUGAGCGCAAGUCCCCAUGAGAGGGGCUUUUCCCGGAGCGGGUGCUAGGCCCUUACCGCUUAGAGUCGGGCGAUGAGUCGCCGUUCUCCCGGGAGUCGGGUUGCUUGGGAGUGCAGCCCAAAGCGGGUGGUAAACUCCACCUAAAGCUAAAUAAGACCGAGAGACCGAUAGCAAACAAGUACCGUGAGGGAAAGUUGAAAAGCACUUUGAAGAGAGAGUUCAAGAGUACGUGAAACCAUUUGGAGGUAAACGGGUGGGGCUUCGAAGGCCUAAGCAGGUUGCAGGUUCACGUUCCAGCCGGGCUAGGGUCGGGAUGGAUGCUCCGCGAAGGAGGCCGUCUCGGCUGUAGGGCUCGUUCUGGAACCGCAUGGCUGCACCCUYGCCAUUGGGACGCCGCGACGGGUUGGACGAUUGUCGGAGGGGCGGUUCGAAAGGUGGCCUCCUUUCUUCGGAUCGGAGGUGUUAUAGUCGUUCCGCUACCGAGGGAUCGUCCGACCGUGGAAGAGUGUAUCUCUCGAGAGCGCUCCAUGUAGAGCAGCGGAAGCCGGGGGCGGCAUCGGCCUUUCGUCCCUCUACACCUAGUGUGUGGGCCGUCUGCGCUGGGCAAACCCCCCGGUCCGACCGCGGUGGAGCGAGAGGUCUGCGGCGAGUAGUUCGGGCUCCCACCCGACCCGUCUUGAAACACGGACCAAGGAGUCCAAUGCGCGUGCGAGUCCCCGGGACUUGUUCAGGCCCGUGGGCGCAAUGAAAGUGAAGGGCGUCUCGGACGUCCGAGUUGGGAUCCCUCUUCUGGAGGGCGCACCAACGGCCCAUUCGAAACCGGUUUCGGUUGGAUGGAGCGAGAGCACGCGCCUUGGGACCCGAAAGAUGGUGAACUAUGCCUGGGCAGGACGAAGCCAGAGGAAACUCUGGUGGAGGUCCGCAGCGAUUCUGACGUGCAAAUCGAUCGUCAGACCCUUGUAUAGGGC
This 1086-nucleotide ribosomal RNA is filed under the name Antillolpium sp. 772A. Its description in RNAcentral is "eukaryotic LSU rRNA". It matches the Rfam family "Eukaryotic large subunit ribosomal RNA", at positions 56 to 923 of the family's 3401-position model. The record is from RNAcentral. Lineage: Eukaryota; Metazoa; Arthropoda; Arachnida; Pseudoscorpiones; Olpiidae.